This 100-nucleotide non-coding RNA is filed under the name Clostridium sp. Its description in RNAcentral is "Guanine sequence". It matches the Rfam family "Purine riboswitch aptamer". From Rfam's summary of the family: Riboswitches are metabolite binding domains within certain messenger RNAs that serve as precision sensors for their corresponding targets. RNAcentral also lists the same sequence under 1 other name. The record is from RNAcentral. Lineage: Bacteria; Bacillati; Bacillota; Clostridia; Eubacteriales; Clostridiaceae.
AAAAUUAAUAGAAAAGUAGUUCGUAUAACUUCAAUAAUAUGGUUUGAAGGUCUCUACCAGGAACCACAAAAUCCUGAUUACGAAGAAAAUUGGUUAUUCA